UACGGAGGAUCCAGGCGUUAUCCGGAAUCAUUGGGUUUAAAGGGUCCGUAGGCGGUUUGGUAAGUCAGUGGUGAAAGCCCAUCGCUCAACGGUGGAACGGCCAUUGAUACUGCCAGACUUGAAUUAUUAGGAAGUAACUAGAAUAUGUAGUGUAGCGGUGAAAUGCUUAGAGAUUACAUGGAAUACCAAUUGCGAAGGCAGGUUACUACUAAUGGAUUGACGCUGAUGGACGAAAGCGUGGGUAGCGAACAGG
Molecule: ribosomal RNA, 253 nt
Filed under: uncultured bacterium
Lineage: Bacteria
Description: partial 16S ribosomal RNA
Rfam family: Bacterial small subunit ribosomal RNA
Source: RNAcentral